UAGGGAAUUUUCCACAAUGGACGAAAGUCUGAUGGAGCAACGCCGCGUGCAGGAUGAAGGUUUUCGGAUUGUAAACUGCUUUUAUCUGUGACGAAUAUGACGGUAGCAGAUGAAUAAGGAUCGGCUAACUCCGUGCCAGCAGCCGCGGUCAUACGGAGGAUCCAAGCGUUAUCCGGAAUUACUGGGCGUAAAGAGUUGCGUAGGUGGCAUAGUAAGCAGAUAGUGAAAGCGUGUGGCUCAACCAUACUCACAUUAUCUGAACUGCUAAGCUAGAGUAUGAGAGAGGUACCUGGAAUUCCUAGUGUAGGGGUAAAAUCCGUUGAUAUUAGGAGGAACACCGAUGGCGUAGGCAGGGUACUGGCUCAUUACUGACACUAAGGCACGAAAGCGUGGGGAGCAA
This 400-nucleotide ribosomal RNA is filed under the name uncultured bacterium. RNAcentral's name for it is "bacterial SSU rRNA". It matches the Rfam family "Bacterial small subunit ribosomal RNA", at positions 355 to 771 of the family's 1533-position model. The record is from RNAcentral.